UGGGGAAUAUUGGACAAUGGGCGAAAGCCUGAUCCAGCCAUGCCGCGUGUGUGAAGAAGGUCUUCGGAUUGUAAAGCUCUUUAAGUUGAGAGGAAGGGCAGUAAGCGAAUACCUUGCUGUUUUGACGUUACCGACAGAAUAAGCACCGGCUAACUCUGUGCCAGCAGCCGCGGUAAUACAGUGGGUGCAAGCGUUAAUCGGAAUUACUGGGCGUAAAGCGCGCGUAGGUGGUUCGUUAAGUUGAAUGUGAAAGCCCCGGGCUCAACCUGGGAAAUGCAUCCAAAACUGGCGAGCUAGAGUAGGGCAGAGGGUGGUGGAAUUUCCUGUGUAGCGGUGAAAUGCGUAGAUAUAGGAAGGAACACCAGUGGCGAAGGCGACCACCUGGGCUCAUACUGACACUGAGGUGCGAAAGCGUGGGGAGCAAACAGG
RNAcentral lists this ribosomal RNA (429 nucleotides) under Pseudomonadota bacterium. RNAcentral's name for it is "Proteobacteria bacterium partial 16S ribosomal RNA". It matches the Rfam family "Bacterial small subunit ribosomal RNA", at positions 355 to 776 of the family's 1533-position model. Lineage: Bacteria; Pseudomonadati; Pseudomonadota. The record is from RNAcentral.